RNAcentral lists this ribosomal RNA (1005 nucleotides) under Clavisyllis tenjini. RNAcentral's name for it is "16S ribosomal RNA". It matches the Rfam family "Bacterial large subunit ribosomal RNA", at positions 1379 to 2700 of the family's 2925-position model. The record is from RNAcentral. Lineage: Eukaryota; Metazoa; Annelida; Polychaeta; Phyllodocida; Syllidae.
CUCGAAAUAAAAUGAGCUGAAAUAAAUCUGUUUAGAACAUAAAAAAUUUGUCGCAUUUUAUUUUUAAGAAUUUAUUUCAGAGGCUACAUACCACGCAUUUUCAACUACCUAGUUUAUUUUAAAAUUUAUUUAAGUAAAGUCAAUAUACUAAUAUUGGGUUAAUUUAUAAAGGAUAAGCUUUAUAAAAAAUAGAAUACAAUUCUCAAACUCCUCCUUAUAGGCUUAGAAUUAGCUAUUUAAAUCUGUUAUAAGAAUAUAUCAAAUAAUUAUAAUUAGUAUCUAAAUCAUAAAAUACUCUUAUAAAACCUUUUUUACGUUGAUAAUGGUAAGAUAAAUAUUUUAUUAUUAAAUUCAAGUAAAUAAAAUCUCCAAUAAAAUUUUCUUCAAAAAUAUCUUUUUUUAAGGAACUCGGCAAUCCUAAUUCUCGACUGUUUAUCAAAAACAUUGCCUUCUGGCUCCCUAUAGAAGGUUAUUUCUGCCCAGUGAAAUUUAAAUGGCCGCGGUAUCCUGACCGUGCGAAGGUAGCAUAAUCAUUUGCCUCUUAAUUAGAGGCUUGUAUGAAAGAAUAAACGAAGAAUUAUCUGUCUCAUAACUACCUAUAAAAAUUUACCUUCAGGUGAAGAGGCCUGAAUACACCUAAAAGACAAGAAGACCCUAUCAAGCUUUAUUUCAAUUCAUAUCUCAAAUUAAAUAAAAAUUAGUUGGGGCGACUUAAAUUCAUUUAAAUCAAUUCUUCUUCUUUAGAGAAAUUCCUCAUUAUAUUUAACUCUAACAAAAACAAGAGAGCUACUGUAGGGAUAACAGGCUAAUAUCUUUCACGAGCUCAUAUCAAAAAAGAUGAUUGGCACCUCGAUGUUGGCUUUGGAAACCUAAUUUGUGCAGAAGCAAUUUUAGGUGGUUUGUUCAACCAUUAAACUCCUACAUGAGCUGAGUUCAGACCGACGUAAGUCAGGUUAGUUUCUAUCUUUUACACUCAUUCUAGAUAGUACGAAAGGACCACUACAA